CAGUCGCCACGGUAAUACGUAGGGUGCAAGCGUUAAUCGGAAUUACUGGGCGUAAAGCGUGCGCAGGCGGUUAUAUAAGACAGUCGUGAAAUCCCCGGGCUCAACCUGGGAACUGCGAUUGUGACUGUAUGGCUAGAGUGUGUCAGAGGGGGGUAGAAUUCCACGUGUAGCAGUGAAAUGCGUAGAUAUGUGGAGGAAUACCGAUGGCGAAGGCAGCCCCCUGGGAUAACACUGACGCUCAUGCACGAAAGCGUGGGGAGCAAACAGGAUUAGAUACCCGCGUAGUCCCUGUCUCUUAUAC
Molecule: ribosomal RNA, 301 nt
Filed under: uncultured bacterium
Lineage: Bacteria
Description: partial 16S ribosomal RNA
Rfam family: Bacterial small subunit ribosomal RNA
Source: RNAcentral